Molecule: ribosomal RNA, 253 nt
Filed under: uncultured bacterium
Lineage: Bacteria
Description: partial 16S ribosomal RNA
Rfam family: Bacterial small subunit ribosomal RNA
Source: RNAcentral
UACGGGGGGUGCAAGCGUUGUUCGGAAUCAUUGGGCGUAAAGAGCGUGUAGGCGGCUGAAUAAGUCAGAUGUGAAAUCCCUGGGCUCAACCCAGGAAGUGCAUUUGAAACUGUUCGGCUAGAGUAGGGGAGAGGGAAGUGGAAUUCCUGGUGUAGAGGUGAAAUUCGUAGAUAUCAGGAGGAACACCGGUGGCGAAGGCGACUUCCUGGCCCUAUACUGACGCUGAGACGCGAGAGCGUGGGGAGCAAACAGG